AGCGAACGCUGGCGGCAGGCCUAACACAUGCAAGUCGAACGAACUCUUCGGAGUUAGUGGUGGACUGGUGAGUAACACGUGGGAACGUGCCUUUAGGUUCGGAAUAACUCAGGGAAACAUGUGCUAAUACCGAAUGUGAUCUCCGGGGGAAAGAUUUAUCGCCUUUAGAGCGGCCUGCGUCUGAUUAGCUAGUUGGUGAGGUAAAGGCUCACCAAGGCGACGAUCAGUAGCUGGUCUGAGAGGAUGAUCAGCCACAUUGGGACUGAGACACGGCCCAAACUCCUGCGGGAAGCAGCAGUGGGGAAUCUUGCGCAAUGGGCGAAAGCCUGACGCAGCCAUGCCGCGUGAAUGAUGAAGGUCUUAGGAUUGUAAAAUUCUUUCACCGGGGACGAUAAUGACGGUACCCGGAGAAGAAGCCCCGGCUAACUUCGUG
Molecule: ribosomal RNA, 433 nt
Filed under: uncultured bacterium
Lineage: Bacteria
Description: partial 16S ribosomal RNA
Rfam family: Bacterial small subunit ribosomal RNA
Source: RNAcentral